AGGCUCGCAGGCAGUUUAUUCAUCAUUCCGGCGCAGCGCUGUGUACUCGAACGUCGAGGUCUGGAGCGGUCGUGUUGAGAGACAAAUGGGAAAUGACGUUCACGCCAGUGACGGAGUGGCCUCGGAGUCACCGCUUUCAGGUUUGUGACUCACCACUUUUUCUUCGAAGAGCAGCAACUGGUGCAACCCCCGCAAUGAGUCAAACGCUGACAACGAGUCACUGACUGUGCGUAGUAGUGGGUGAUGAGUGCCUGACUCACUGAGAAAUCCACAACAUCUCACUGCACAAUUAGCGUGUUGCUAGUCACAUCACCUUCUUACCUGGUGGCUGCCUGAGGUCCACCGGUUUUAACUGAAAAUAAAAUAGCUUUGUGAUAUCCUUACA
This is a long non-coding RNA of Mugil cephalus (flathead mullet), 385 nucleotides long. RefSeq lists it as uncharacterized. The record is from RefSeq and is a predicted model, not a curated record. Lineage: Eukaryota; Metazoa; Chordata; Actinopteri; Mugiliformes; Mugilidae. The transcript is spliced from 2 exons.